Molecule: ribosomal RNA, 253 nt
Filed under: uncultured Eubacteriales bacterium
Lineage: Bacteria; Bacillati; Bacillota; Clostridia; Eubacteriales
Description: uncultured Clostridiales bacterium partial 16S ribosomal RNA
Rfam family: Bacterial small subunit ribosomal RNA
Source: RNAcentral
UACGUAGGGGGCAAGCGUUAUCCGGAUUUACUGGGUGUAAAGGGAGCGUAGACGGCGGGGCAAGUCUGGAGUGAAAGGCCGGGGCCCAACCCCGGGACCGCUCUGGAAACUGCCCGGCUGGAGUGCGGGAGGGGCAGGCGGAAUUCCUGGUGUAGCGGUGAAAUGCGUAGAUAUCAGGAGGAACACCGGCGGCGAAGGCGGCCUGCUGGACCGCGACUGACGUUGAGGCUCGAAAGCGUGGGGAGCGAACAGG